The sequence is a non-coding RNA, 257 nucleotides long. It matches the Rfam family "T-box leader". From Rfam's summary of the family: Uncharged tRNA acts as the effector for transcription antitermination of genes in the T-box leader family. T-boxes are found upstream of many aminoacyl-tRNA synthetase genes and some amino acid biosynthetic genes usually in Gram-positive bacteria. The anticodon of a specific tRNA base pairs to a specifier sequence within the T-box motif, and the NCCA acceptor tail of the tRNA base pairs to a conserved bulge in the T-box antiterminator hairpin.
AGAAAUACAGUGAAGAAGGAAAGUAGUGUAAAUUGGAUAUUUCAGAGAGGAAAUCAUAUGCUGUGAGAUUUCUAUAUCACAUUUAUGCGAAGUGCCCUUCGGAGUUUUGCACCGAAAGAUAAAGUAGGCUGCAACGGUUUUAUCCGUUAUAGUAAUAGAGCAUAUAACUCCAUUUUGUUUUGGGAGCGUGCUUGAAAUGAGGUGGGAUUUUAUCCAAUUAGAGUGGAACCGCAGAGUGUAAUAGCUUUGUCUCUAGA